RNAcentral lists this ribosomal RNA (482 nucleotides) under uncultured bacterium. RNAcentral describes it as "bacterial SSU rRNA". It matches the Rfam family "Bacterial small subunit ribosomal RNA", at positions 28 to 524 of the family's 1533-position model. The record is from RNAcentral.
GACGAACGCUGGCGGCGUGCUUAACACAUGCAAGUCGAACGAUGAACCAGGGCUUGCCCUGGGGAUUAGUGGCGAACGGUGAGUAACACGUGGGCAACCUGCCCCAGACACCGGGAUAACCUCUCGAAAGAGUGGCUAAUACCGGAUAUGACCACUUCGGGCAUCCGACGGUGGUGGAAAGGAUUCUGGUCUGGGAUGGGCCCGCGGCCUAUCAGCUAGUUGGUGGGGUAAUGGCCUACCAAGGCGACGACGGGUAGCCGGCCUGAGAGGGCGACCGGCCACACUGGGACUGAGACACGGCCCAGACUCCUACGGGAGGCAGCAGUGGGGAAUAUUGCGCAAUGGGCGAAAGCCUGACGCAGCGACGCCGCGUGAGGGACGAAGGUCUUCGGAUUGUAAACCUCUUUCAGCAGGGACGAAGCGAAAGUGACUGUACCUGCAGAAGAAGCACCGGCUAACUACGUGCCAGCAGCCGCGGUAAU